This is a long non-coding RNA of Neopelma chrysocephalum (saffron-crested tyrant-manakin), 729 nucleotides long. RefSeq lists it as uncharacterized. The record is from RefSeq and is a predicted model, not a curated record. NCBI's taxonomy places the organism in Eukaryota, Metazoa, Chordata, Aves, Passeriformes, Pipridae. The transcript is spliced from 5 exons.
ACAAUCGGGGGGGGGGGGCGCAGAUUGUCCAAUUAUGAUGUGCAUACCUGUCCGGGAGGAAUUAUAUGGAACCCUCAUGCUCGUUCAUCACUUCGUUUUUACACGCUGGAGUAGUUUUAUGAGAUACACUGAUAGAGGCUGUUUCGAAGGUUGCUAAAGACCAUGUUCAUUGCAUGCUUGGUUUCAUGCGGCUCCUGGCACUUGGGGUCGGUGCAGGGAGAUGAAGCUGAUUGAUUCAGGGCCAAAGAGCUCCAUGGUGUCUGACAGUCUGGGCCUUACAGUCCAAGAUGCAGAUAGUCGCAUUUGUCUAAGGUGCUAAGUGACAAAAGAACUUUUUAACAGUGGAAGCCCGAGCUGAAAGGAAGAGUAAUAUGGGUUGUAUAUUGGCCCGCGGUUCACCUUAACACCAGUGGAAGUGAUUAGUGGGUGCUGCUCUGCCUAAAGAGGCUUUCCAUAAGAUCGGGGCCCUCGCGGUAUUCAAAUAAAAUAUUUAGAUUUGCAAAACUUCUGGAAGCCAGAUUUUAAGGGAAAAAAGAAGUUUUUUGUCAGAUUGUCAAUGUCUGAAUUUCAUCACAAUCUGUUCAGCUGUUUGUUGCAGGCAGGCGUAAAACGUAGUGGGCUUUCUGCUGCUACGCAGCAAAACAAUGGAGCAGGUGGUGCUCGGCCAGUUUAUGACCACAAGGCCGGUCCAAGAGGCUGUAACCAUCGCCUGCCCUGCACCCAAAUCGU